This 253-nucleotide ribosomal RNA is filed under the name uncultured bacterium. Its description in RNAcentral is "partial 16S ribosomal RNA". It matches the Rfam family "Bacterial small subunit ribosomal RNA", at positions 524 to 776 of the family's 1533-position model. The record is from RNAcentral.
UACGAGGGGGGCAAGCGUUGUUCGGAAUUAUUGGGCGUAAAGGGUGCGUAGGCGGCCUGACAAGUCUGAUGUGAAAUCUAUGGGCUCAACCCAUAGUCUGCAUCGGAAACUGUCGGGCUUGAGUAUGGGAGAGGUGAGUGGAAUUUCCGGUGUAGCGGUGAAAUGCGUAGAUAUCGGAAGGAACACCUGUGGCGAAAGCGGCUCACUGGACCAUUACCGACGCUGAGGCACGAAAGCUAGGGGAGCAAACAGG